RNAcentral lists this ribosomal RNA (586 nucleotides) under uncultured bacterium. RNAcentral's name for it is "partial 16S ribosomal RNA". It matches the Rfam family "Bacterial small subunit ribosomal RNA", at positions 355 to 937 of the family's 1533-position model. The record is from RNAcentral.
UGGGGAAUAUUGGACAAUGGGCGCAAGCCUGAUCCAGCAAUGCCGCGUGUGUGAAGAAGGCCUUCGGGUUGUAAAGCACUUUUAUCAGGAGCGAAACGCUGUCGGCUAAUACCCGGCGGAACUGACGGUACCUGAGGAAUAAGCACCGGCUAACUUCGUGCCAGCAGCCGCGGUAAUACGAAGGGUGCAAGCGUUAAUCGGAAUUACUGGGCGUAAAGCGUGCGUAGGCGGUUUCUUAAGUCUGCUGUGAAAUCCCCGGGCUCAACCUGGGAAUGGCAGUGGAUACUGGGAGGCUAGAGUGUGUCAGAGGGUGGUGGAAUUCCCGGUGUAGCGGUGAAAUGCGUAGAGAUCGGGAGGAACAUCAGUGGCGAAGGCGGCCACCUGGGACAACACUGACGCUGAGGCACGAAAGCGUGGGGAGCAAACAGGAUUAGAUACCCUGGUAGUCCACGCCCUAAACGAUGCGAACUGGAUGUUGGUCUCAACUCGGAGAUCAGUGUCGAAGCUAACGCGUUAAGUUCGCCGCCUGGGGAGUACGGUCGCAAGACUGAAACUCAAAGGAAUUGACGGGGUCAUAGCUGUUUCC